CUAAGGAAAAGUAAGUAACGGAGGGCGUCUAAAAGCGACUUGAUUUUAGGAAAGCAAGGCAGUAUGCUUGCAUACCAGAUGGUUUAUCUAAAUCACAAGCUUUUAGCCCGAGUACAAUUUGACUCAGUAUCUGUACUUACACGGAAGCACUUGGACGUCUUGUUUAGUUUUGAGAGGGACGUGGGGCCUUAGCUCAGCUGGGAGAGCGCCUGCUUUGCACGCAGGAGGUCAGCGGUUCGAUCCCGCUAGGCUCCAUUAUCUAGGAUACAAAGAGAUGUUCGGAAGAGGACAAUUUUGUAUUCUAGUGACUAAGAUAGUGUUCACGUAAUUGAACACGACCUCAUUUCUUAGGAAAAAAGAUAAAUCUCCUCGUGUGCCAGCACACAGCGUCGAUUUCCUAUUUUUCUACAGAAAUGCCCAACAAGUUGGGACGGUCUUAGUAUCUUAGAGAUCGUUCAUUGACAAUUGAAUAGCGCAACAAAAGAAACCGAAACGCUGUAGAUCAUAUUGAAAGAGUUUUUUAAUAA
This 527-nucleotide transfer RNA is filed under the name Streptococcus mutans. RNAcentral's name for it is "16S-23S ribosomal RNA intergenic spacer". The stretch from base 183 to 255 matches the Rfam family "tRNA". The record is from RNAcentral. Lineage: Bacteria; Bacillati; Bacillota; Bacilli; Lactobacillales; Streptococcaceae. RNAcentral also lists the same sequence under 1 other name.